UACGAAGGGAGCUAGCGUUGUUCGGAAUUACUGGGCGUAAAGGGCGCGUAGGCGGACAUCUAAGUCAGGGGUGAAAUCCCAGGGCUCAACCCCGGAAGUGCAUUGGAUACUGGGAGGCUGGAGUACCGGAGAGGAGGGUGGAAUUCCUGGUGUAGCGGUGAAAUGCGUAGAUAUCAGGAGGAACACCGGUGGCGAAGGCGGCAUCCUGGACCGGCAUUGACGCUGAGGCGCGAAAGCUAGGGGAGCAAACGGG
This 253-nucleotide ribosomal RNA is filed under the name uncultured bacterium. RNAcentral describes it as "partial 16S ribosomal RNA". It matches the Rfam family "Bacterial small subunit ribosomal RNA", at positions 524 to 776 of the family's 1533-position model. The record is from RNAcentral.